UUUAUUAUAUUCAAAAAUUGAAAAAAAAAAAGGCUUGGUUCAAAGAAUUCACCAUGUGAAAGGGGUAGACCAUGUUUAGAUUUUGUCUUCACACCCACUUUCCAAUUGGGUUUUCUUCUUAACUCAGAGUAUUAUUUACACAAUGCAGAAUUUGAAUAACUUAAGGUGAAAAACCAGUCUUUAGUAUUUUGCCUAGGGUUUGCUUGUUCUACUUCAACUUUUGCUUUAGUGCUGACACUAUGGACAAGGUGGGCAAGGGUUCGGAGGUGGAAUGCCAUGCUAGUAGGUCCAAGUCUGACAAACAGCCCAAUGACAAAGGCAAGGGUGGGGUGAAAGUCAUGGAGGGUUCUUAAGGUGGACUUGGCAAAAUUUGCAUAAGACACAGUAAGAGUAAUAUCAUGACAGAAUUUCUUGUGGUUCAGCAAUGUGCCUAAAUCCACAAGCUACCUAACUUUUCUACUCAAUUCAACUCAACUCAACUCAACUAAGUCUUU
Molecule: unclassified non-coding RNA, 494 nt
Filed under: Hevea brasiliensis (rubber tree)
Lineage: Eukaryota; Viridiplantae; Streptophyta; Magnoliopsida; Malpighiales; Euphorbiaceae
Source: RNAcentral